Thalassophryne amazonica is the source of this 349-nucleotide long non-coding RNA. RefSeq lists it as uncharacterized. The transcript has 3 exons. NCBI's taxonomy places the organism in Eukaryota, Metazoa, Chordata, Actinopteri, Batrachoidiformes, Batrachoididae. The record is from RefSeq and is a predicted model, not a curated record.
UAUCUACAAUAAUUUAGAGGCAUUUGGUUUUCUUUAUAGAUUUUUUUUUCUCCAAUAGUCAUCUUUAUUGCCUUUUAGUGUUUUUCAUCCACCGUGUACAUCAAGAGCACUUCUGCACAAACAUACACACACUCAAACACUCACACACACAUAUUAUAUUUAUAUAUAUAUAUAUAUAUAUAUAUUUAUAUAUCGUAGCAAGCUAAUCCAUUUCUAUUCGGGUGUGGCUACACGUAAGACAAUUGUAUCCCAAGUGGAAGAGGCUACAGGUGCAAGACAUUUCCGCGUGGUGGUGCUCUGACACUCAGUAGCACCAUGCGGUGAUUAGGAAGUAAAAGUAACACUGUUC